This 228-nucleotide unclassified non-coding RNA is filed under the name Hevea brasiliensis (rubber tree). The record is from RNAcentral. Lineage: Eukaryota; Viridiplantae; Streptophyta; Magnoliopsida; Malpighiales; Euphorbiaceae.
GAAUUGUGAAACAAACGUUUCUUAACAUCAUUGAAACCGAUAGAGGAGAUGGAGAUGUGGAUGUUGAAGGGAGAGGUGGAAGAGAGAUAAGAAAGACGGAAGAUGAGAGUGAUGCAAAGGAAAUGUGGAUUAGAUCAAUGGUACAUGGGAGGAACGGAACUAUCCUGACCAAGAGACCCAUAACCCCAUCAGAAGAGGAAGAAAAAUUGAAUAGCCGGAGCAGAAGUG